ACACGGGUAAGGAUCAAAGUUACAAACCAUUUUUAAAUGUGGUUGCAUCCGGAACCAAUCUUCUCUGGGUCGGAGAGCGCUCACUGAGAAAAGUGAUUAUGCUGCCAUCAGGAGGGAGCUCGAAUGAAGCCUGCGAUCCAGCUCUGGAGACGGCAGCGAGGGUUGGUGGAUCGCACACAGAAGUUGCCAAAGCUGCCUUUCCCUGGUCGACGAGGAGGAUACCGCACCCCUCUGGCUACGCCUGGAGAAGGCAGAUCUGGCCUGCCCAUAGCGCCCUGCUGGCUCCGCCCCUAGGUUCCGCC
Lethenteron reissneri (Far Eastern brook lamprey) is the source of this 302-nucleotide long non-coding RNA. RefSeq lists it as uncharacterized. Lineage: Eukaryota; Metazoa; Chordata; Hyperoartia; Petromyzontiformes; Petromyzontidae. The record is from RefSeq and is a predicted model, not a curated record.